Molecule: ribosomal RNA, 253 nt
Filed under: uncultured bacterium
Lineage: Bacteria
Description: partial 16S ribosomal RNA
Rfam family: Bacterial small subunit ribosomal RNA
Source: RNAcentral
UACGGAGGGUGCAAGCGUUAUCCGGAUUUACUGGGUUUAAAGGGCGCGUAGGCGGCUUGGCAAGUGGAUGGUGAAAUCCCUCGGCUUAACCGAGGAACUGCCGUCCAAACUGCUUCGCUUGAGACCGGGAGAGGUGAGUGGAAUUCCCAGUGUAGCGGUGAAAUGCGUAGAUAUCGGGAGGAACACCAGUGGCGAAGGCGAGUCUCUGGGAUGAUGCUGACGCUGAGGCGCGAAAGCCAGGGGAGCAAACGGG